Molecule: non-coding RNA, 107 nt
Organism: Colinus virginianus (northern bobwhite)
Lineage: Eukaryota; Metazoa; Chordata; Aves; Galliformes; Odontophoridae
Source: Rfam
GCCUACGGCCAUACCACCCUGGAAACACCAAUUCUCACCUGAUCUCUGAAGCUAAGCAGGGUCAGGCUUGGUUAGUACUUGAAUGUAACCAUGAAAUGGUAUAGUUC